AUACGGGGGGGGCAAGCGUUGUUCGGAAUUACUGGGCGUAAAGGGCGCGUAGGCGGCCGCCUCAGUCGAACGUGAAAUCCCCCGGCUCAACCGGGGAACUGCGUCCGAUACUGGGUGGCUGGAAUCCGGGAGAGGGAUGCGGAAUUCCAGGUGUAGCGGUGAAAUGCGUAGAUAUCUGGAGGAACACCGGUGGCGAAGGCGGCAUCCUGGACCGGCAUUGACGCUGAGGCGCGAAAGCCAGGGGAGCAAACGGGAUUAGAUACCCCGGUAGUCCUGGCCCUAAACGAUGAAUGCUUGGUGUGGCGGGUAUCGAUCCCUGCCGUGCCGGAGCUAACGCGUUAAGCAUUCCGCCUGGGGAGUACGGUCGCAAGGCUGAA
This 377-nucleotide ribosomal RNA is filed under the name uncultured bacterium. Its description in RNAcentral is "bacterial SSU rRNA". It matches the Rfam family "Bacterial small subunit ribosomal RNA", at positions 523 to 898 of the family's 1533-position model. The record is from RNAcentral.